UGCUGUUUCUCCAACUCCCGGACUUUACUCUCCAGUUUGGCCAUAGUCUGCCGAAUUGUCUGCACCUAGGAAGGAUCACCGAGAGGGCUGAAGACUUAAGUGUCACUCUAGUGCGCCCUACUCCUCGGUCCUCCUAACCCUUACCUUCUGGAAGAACUCGUCGUCCGGGCUGCUCAGCCGGGCGGCACCUGAGUGCACCACCAACGCGACUCGAACCUCAUCUUCAUCGUCUGAGAUGUUAUCCCCCUGCCAGGAUCGGAGUCAUUGGCACCACUUGCUCUCUGCGGUUCUCGUCCCGCAGGAACCAUGGGCUUCCGGGAUUUUCCUUCCUGGCCCUCAGCCACCCGUCCCGGACCCAAAACCAGGAGUCCUCACUCCAGCGCUCCCGCCCGGCCCCACUUCUCCAUUCCAGAGUGUCUUCACGAUCCUAUUUUCUCACCUGCCUCAACUCAUGGGUCCUGUCGCGCAUGGUGGCCGGAGUGCCCUGGACCUGAGCCCAAAGGGCCUCAAGGUUCUAAAUUUGGAAGUCCUGCACCUCUCUCACACUUGACACCCCCUCCCUCACCUUGCGAACUCCAAUACCCCCAGGAGCCGCCAAAGGCCACACCCCUUUCACCAUCCACAGUGGUGGGGAAGAACCCGACCAUA
Molecule: long non-coding RNA, 648 nt
Filed under: Rattus norvegicus (Norway rat)
Lineage: Eukaryota; Metazoa; Chordata; Mammalia; Rodentia; Muridae
Description: long non-coding RNA NONRATT003228
Source: RNAcentral